This 253-nucleotide ribosomal RNA is filed under the name uncultured bacterium. RNAcentral's name for it is "partial 16S ribosomal RNA". It matches the Rfam family "Bacterial small subunit ribosomal RNA", at positions 524 to 776 of the family's 1533-position model. The record is from RNAcentral.
UACGUAGGGUGCAAGCGUUAAUCGGAAUUACUGGGCGUAAAGCGUGCGCAGGCGGUUUUGUAAGUCUGACGUGAAAUCCCCGGGCUCAACCUGGGAAUUGCGUUGGAGACUGCAAGGCUAGAGUGUGUCAGAGGGGGGUAGAAUUCCACGUGUAGCAGUGAAAUGCGUAGAGAUGUGGAGGAACACCGAUGGCGAAGGCAGCCCCCUGGGUCAAGAUUGACGCUCAUGCACGAAAGCGUGGGGAGCAAACAGG